Molecule: ribosomal RNA, 375 nt
Filed under: uncultured bacterium
Lineage: Bacteria
Description: bacterial SSU rRNA
Rfam family: Bacterial small subunit ribosomal RNA
Source: RNAcentral
AUUGAACGCUGGCGGCAGGCCUAACACAUGCAAGUCGAGCGGGGUUCUCGGACCUAGCGGCGGACGGGUGAGUAGUGCGUAGGAAGCUACCCGAUAGAGGGGGAUACCAGUUGGAAACGACUGUUAAUACCGCAUAAUGUCUACGGACCAAAGUGUGGGACCUUCGGGCCACAUGCUAUCGGAUGCGCCUACGUGGGAUUAGCUAGUUGGUGAGGUAAUGGCUCACCAAGGCGACGAUCUCUAGCUGGUUUGAGAGGAUGAUCAGCCACACUGGAACUGAGACACGGUCCAGACUCCUACGGGAGGCAGCAGUGGGGAAUAUUGGACAAUGGGCGCAAGCCUGAUCCAGCCAUGCCGCGUGUGUGAAGAAGGCCU